UUUCAUACAAAGUAUGAGGAAAUAUUUGAGUUUUUUUUAAUAUAAAACACAUUUCAUUUAACUUCUUUCAGUUUCACAAGGUGUAAAUCUGUCAUACAUGAUGUUGAUACAGAGAUAAUAAUGCAAAUGUCUGCAAUGACAAUUACUCAAAAUGUCUCAAAGCAACAAAGAAAAUGGUUUUCCUCAGUACACAGAGAGAAAUGAUAAAAAGUAAGAAAGAAAAAUACACCCCAUUUACAUGUAAAUUGAUUUUUAUUCUUGUUGCAGUGAGAAGUCAGCGCAGGAACUAAAUGCAGGACUGAACAAGCAGGAGGUCAGAGCUGAAUACUAAUGAACUUCAUGUCACAAAAACAAAACCUGAGGCGCUGCCAAAGCAGCGAGUCGGCCGACAGAAACAUGCAACAUGAAGUUAGACGCCUGCAGGAAAACAAGGCUGUGCAGCCACAAAGCUGGGGAUCUGAAAAACCGCUGAACGAGGAACCAGGAGGAUAAGGGAGCGACAACAGGCUCGGUUUGGAGCUCCAAAAUCAGAAGGCAGAAACUGAACAACCACUGCAACAUCACAGCUUUCACACAGAGAGAAAGUGCUGCGUGGACCUCCUGCUGCAUCAGAGAACCUACACAUAUUCCCUCUGACUGCACCGUUAAGGCCCGACACGAGGAGCGAGCAGCUAUGAAACGCACACAGACGUCUCUGUCUUCCCGGAUAAGAAGCAGCUGUCUGCCUGUCAGCAGCGCCUGGACAAGAGACACUUUCUGAAAGUCAAAGACGCAAUCAUGUAAAUCAGGACACAGUUGAAGUCCCCAGCCUGAGGAAUCAGAAAUACAGAAAGAAACAGAGCCGGACGGCAACCAGUGAACAGUUAUUAGGCAACAUGCAGCACAUAACGGCUUCGACGCAAUCUCUGUACAGCAACUAAGAGCCAAAAUCAGUUCUCAUUCGCUGCUUUUCCAUUACAAAUGUACGUAAAACUUUGUCUAUAUUCCCACACAUUUUCACAUUCGCGGUAAUAAGAAAGGCACUUAAAAUCACACGUGAAAAAGUUUCUUCAUGCAUCAAGUCAUUAAAGAAACAUGAACCUCCAACUA
Molecule: long non-coding RNA, 1089 nt
Organism: Poecilia reticulata (guppy)
Lineage: Eukaryota; Metazoa; Chordata; Actinopteri; Cyprinodontiformes; Poeciliidae
Source: RefSeq, a predicted model, not a curated record